GUGACUGGAGUUCAGCUGUGUGCCCUUCCGGUUUAGGGGCUACUAGGAGUGAGUCUGCUAAUCCUAAGUAGUUUUAGUAAGAUCAGUGUGCUUUGUGAAUGGAAACAUAUAAAUGUCUUUUAAAGGGCUGUUUGCCAGUGCCUGCCUAGCGCUUAAGCAGCAUGUGUAUUAUAUCUAUCUUUAACUAGCGUGCACAGCAUUCUCCUGCUACGUGCCUAGAUAUAUACACAGAUUCAGAUGCAAGUAGAUAGACCUUCCAAAGUCGUCCAAGUUUUAUUGUAAAGGUUGUUUUUGUUUUUUUUAAAAAGGGGGGUUAGUAAGUAAUAAAGGGACUGGAGAACAGAGACCUAAUCGAAAGCUCAUUGAACUAAAUGGCAAGACUUCUUCUGGCUUCAGUGAGCUUUGAAUCAGACCCAGUGGGCAAUACGAAUGGUGAAAGAACAAUAGAUAGGAUGCUUGCUAAUUACUCAGUGGCCACACUACACUUGCAUGAGCAUUUUCAUUUCUCAGCAGCUUAUUUAUCUUCAACAGUAUUGUUUUUAAAAGGCAUAGCAGGUAACAUUCUAGGCUUUUUCUCUUACUUUUAACUCUUCCUACUGUUUAACUACUAGCGGAAAUAGGUGCUGGGGCACUCAGGGCACAUAAACCUACUGUGAUAAUGAGAGAGCUGAAAAAAAUAGGCUAGAGACAGCGGUACAUUUAGACAGCGCCCCCAGUAUAAAGUUACCCUGACUGAUCGCUGGGAAGGAAGGAAUGAAAAACACUAUCACGCUACUGUUGUGGGCUAGUAAUAUAGCUAUUGUAUUGGGUUUUGUGUUGGUGGUGGGUCCUUGUACCCCUUUCAGAGAUCCAGGAACCUAAUAUCCUUUACCCAUUUUAAGCAUGUUUAUAAAAAUCCUGCUCCACUGAUCCUGGCUGGUCAGAACAAGAUGUACGUCUCCAUGGACCAUCUCAGAAUACCGACUCUCUAGGCUAAGGCUUGGUCUACACGUGGAAGUUAUAUUGGCAUAGCUCCCUCAGUCAGCGGUAUUAACCCCCCCGCAUAGAUACAGCUGUGUUGACAGAAGAGUGCGGCUUCCUUUGCUGCAGCUAAUGUUCGGGGAGGUGAUAUUCCUACGCCUACAGAAACCCCCCGGCGGGGUCUCCAUUACAGGGCUCUGCUGCCCAGUUUAUGCCGAUACAGUCUCCACAAUGUAGACAUACCCUAACAUUCCAAAUGUGCUACUGAAUUCAUGGUGCAAGCAAGCAAACUCAGCUCAGAAGAGUUGGCCACAAUUUAAAUUUCCCCAUAGCUCAGCAAUGGGUCAGUGAUAAACUUUAAUUCUGGACUAAUGAAUAUUGAACAGUAAAAAAUUAAAUUAAAUUAAAUUAGGGAGUCACUUUAAGUUUGCCAGUAUGAUAUUAUCUGGAUGGCCUUGAUUUCCAUAUUAAAUAUGUGUAUAUAUAAUUUCUGGGAUGUUUAGAAAUAGUGUUUCAAAUUCUAAAUUUUGUAUUUGGAUAUAAAGAAUGCAGAGUGAGGUUAUCACUUUAUACAUUUUAAAUGUUCCAUAAUUUGAUUUUACAAAAUGCCCUAUGUUUUAUGGAAAUGAAGAUAUCUUUCUAUAGUUCCUUGCUAAGGACAUGCAUGUAGGAAAGGUACUGUCCUACAUUCGGAUUCAAAUUAAAGCAGCAGCUCUAACCAA
Molecule: long non-coding RNA, 1682 nt
Organism: Chelonia mydas (Green sea turtle)
Lineage: Eukaryota; Metazoa; Chordata; Testudines; Cheloniidae
Exons: 3
Source: RefSeq, a predicted model, not a curated record